UUGUAGUGAGGUUGAGGGAAAAAACAAUGAGGUCUCUAAUGGCCUCCGCAACAGUCACUCUUGUGUUAGCAAUACUGUCUCUAAGCUUGCCAUCUCAAAUCUCAGCUGAUACCUACUUGUACUCAUCACCUCCUCCUCCCAAGAAGCCCUAUUAUUAUCACUCUCCUCCACCACCUUCACCUCCUCCACCUAAGCCAUACUACUAUCAUUCACCACCACCACCUUCACCUCCUCCACCCAAGCCAUACUACUAUCACUCACCACCACCACCUUCACCUCCUCCACCUAAACCAUACUACUAUCACUCACCACCACCACCUUCACCUCCUCCACCUAAACCAUACUACUAUCACUCACCACCACCACCUUCACCUCCUCCACCUAAACCAUACUACUAUCACUCACCACCACCACCUUCACCUCCUCCACCUAAGUCAUAUUACUAUCACUCACCACCACCACCACCCAAAAAGAAGCCAUACUACUACCAUUCUCCCCCACCACCUUCACCACCUCCUCCUAAGCCAUACUACUAUCACUCUCCCCCACCGCCUUCACCUCCUCCACCUACGCCAUACUACUAUCAUUCUCCCCCACCACCCUCACCACCUCCACCUAAGCCAUACUACUACCAUUCACCACCACCCCCACCGAAGAAGAAGCCUUACUACUACCACUCUCCACCACCACCUUCACCUCCUCCUCCAAAGAAGCCAUACUACUACCACUCCCCACCUCCUCCCAAGAAGCCCUACAAAUAUUCAUCUCCCCCACCUCCAGUGCACCCUUACCCUCAUCCUCACCCCCAUCCCCAUCCACACCCCCACCCUCACCCUCCCUACGUUUACAAAUCUCCUCCCCCACCCCCUAAGAAGCCAUACAAGUACCCAUCCCCACCACCUCCAGUCCACGUUUACCCUCACCCUCACCCGCAUCCACACCCUCACCCUCAACCUCACCCCCAUCCACAACCCCACCCUCCCUACAUUUAUCAGUCUCCUCCAC
Molecule: long non-coding RNA, 1005 nt
Filed under: Phaseolus vulgaris (common bean)
Lineage: Eukaryota; Viridiplantae; Streptophyta; Magnoliopsida; Fabales; Fabaceae
Description: long non-coding RNA (PVUL_LNC002044)
Source: RNAcentral